GACGAACGCUGGCGGCGUGCUUAACACAUGCAAGUCGAACGGAAAGGCCCMUUCGGGGGUACUCGAGUGGCGAACGGGUGAGUAACACGUGGGUGAUCUGCCCUGCACUUUGGGAUAAGCCUGGGAAACUGGGUCUAAUACCGAAUAGGACCACGCGCYUCAUGGUGUGUGGUGGAAAGCUUUUGCGGUGUGGGAUGGGCCCGCGGCCUAUCAGCUUGUUGGUGGGGUAAUGGCCUACCAAGGCGACGACGGGUAGCCGGCCUGAGAGGGUGUCCGGCCACACUGGGACUGAGAUACGGCCCAGACUCCUACGGGAGGCAGCAGUGGGGAAUAUUGCACAAUGGGCGCAAGCCUGAUGCAGCGACGCCGCGUGGGGGAUGACGGCCUUCGGGUUGUAAACCUCUUUCAGUAUCGGCGAAGCUCCAGGAUUUUUCUUGGGGUGACGGUAGGUACAGAAGAAGCACCGGCCAACUACGUGCCAGCAGC
This 486-nucleotide ribosomal RNA is filed under the name Mycobacterium sp. LIV-2123. RNAcentral's name for it is "bacterial SSU rRNA". It matches the Rfam family "Bacterial small subunit ribosomal RNA", at positions 28 to 515 of the family's 1533-position model. Lineage: Bacteria; Bacillati; Actinomycetota; Actinomycetes; Mycobacteriales; Mycobacteriaceae. The record is from RNAcentral.